AUGGAGGGGGAUAACUACUGGAAACGGUAGCUAAUACCGCAUAACGUCGCAAGGCCAAAGAGGGGGACCUUCGGGCCUCUUGCCAUCAGAUGUGCCCAGAUGGGAUUAGCUAGUAGGUGGGGUAACGGCUCACCUAGGCGACGAUCCCUAGCUGGUCUGAGAGGAUGACCAGCCACACUGGAACUGAGACACGGUCCAGACUCCUACGGGAGGCAGCAGUGGGGAAUAUUGCACAAUGGGCGCAAGCCUGAUGCAGCCAUGCCGCGUGUAUGAAGAAGGCCUUCGGGUUGUAAAGUACUUUCAGCGGGGAGGAAGGUGUUGUGGUUAAUAACCGCAGCAAUUGACGUUACCCGCAGAAGAAGCACCGGCUAACUCCCCGCCAGCACCCGCGGUAAUACGGAGGGUGCAAGCGUUAAUCGGAAUUACUGGCCCCACAGCGCACGCAGGCGGUCUGUCAAGUCCGAUGUGAAAUCCCCGGGCUCAACCUGGGAACUGCAUUCGAAACUGGCAGGCUAGAGUCUUGUACAGGGGGG
This 533-nucleotide ribosomal RNA is filed under the name uncultured bacterium. RNAcentral's name for it is "bacterial SSU rRNA". It matches the Rfam family "Bacterial small subunit ribosomal RNA", at positions 133 to 661 of the family's 1533-position model. The record is from RNAcentral.